GGUUAAGCGACUAAGCGUACACGGUGGAUGCCCUGGCAGUCAGAGGCGAUGAAGGACGUGCUAAUCUGCGAUAAGCGUCGGUAAGGUGAUAUGAACCGUUAUAACCGGCGAUUUCCGAAUGGGGAAACCCAGUGUGAUUCGUCACACUAUCAUUAACUGAAUCCAUAGGUUAAUGAGGCGAACCGGGGGAACUGAAACAUCUAAGUACCCCGAGGAAAAGAAAUCAACCGAGAUUCCCCCAGUAGCGGCGAGCGAACGGGGAGCAGCCCAGAGCCUGAAUCAGUAUGUGUGUUAGUGGAAGCGUCUGGAAAGGCGUGCGAUACAGGGUGACAGCCCCGUACACAAAAAUGCACAUGCUGUGAGCUCGAUGAGUAGGGCGGGACACGUGGUAUCCUGUCUGAAUAUGGGGGGACCAUCCUCCAAGGCUAAAUACUCCUGACUGACCGAUAGUGAACCAGUACCGUGAGGGAAAGGCGAAAAGAACCCCGGCGAGGGGAGUGAAAAAGAACCUGAAACCGUGUACGUACAAGCAGUGGGAGCCUCUUUAAUGGGGUGACUGCGUACCUUUUGUAUAAUGGGUCAGCGACUUAUAUUCUGUAGCAAGGUUAACCGAAUAGGGGAGCCGAAGGGAAACCGAGUCUUAACUGGGCGUUAAGUUGCAGGGUAUAGACCCGAAACCCGGUGAUCUAGCCAUGGGCAGGUUGAAGGUUGGGUAACACUAACUGGAGGACCGAACCGACUAAUGUUGAAAAAUUAGCGGAUGACUUGUGGCUGGGGGUGAAAGGCCAAUCAAACCGGGAGAUAGCUGGUUCUCCCCGAAAGCUAUUUAGGUAGCGCCUCGUGAAUUCAUCUCCGGGGGUAGAGCACUGUUUCGGCAAGGGGGUCAUCCCGACUUACCAACCCGAUGCAAACUGCGAAUACCGGAGAAUGUUAUCACGGGAGACACACGGCGGGUGCUAACGUCCGUCGUGAAGAGGGAAACAACCCAGACCGCCAGCUAAGGUCCCAAAGUCAUGGUUAAGUGGGAAACGAUGUGGGAAGGCCCAGACAGCCAGGAUGUUGGCUUAGAAGCAGCCAUCAUUUAAAGAAAGCGUAAUAGCUCACUGGUCGAGUCGGCCUGCGCGGAAGAUGUAACGGGGCUAAACCAUGCACCGAAGCUGCGGCAGCGACACUAUGUGUUGUUGGGUAGGGGAGCGUUCUGUAAGCCGUUGAAGGUGGCCUGUGAGGGUUGCUGGAGGUAUCAGAAGUGCGAAUGCUGACAUAAGUAACGAUAAAGCGGGUGAAAAGCCCGCUCGCCGGAAGACCAAGGGUUCCUGUCCAACGUUAAUCGGGGCAGGGUGAGUCGACCCCUAAGGCGAGGCCGAAAGGCGUAGUCGAUGGGAAACAGGUUAAUAUUCCUGUACUUGGUGUUACUGCGAAGGGGGGACGGAGAAGGCUAUGUUGGCCGGGCGACGGUUGUCCCGGUUUAAGCGUGUAGGCUGAUUUUCCAGGCAAAUCCGGAGAAUCAAGGCUGAGGCGUGAUGACGAGGCACUACGGUGCUGAAGCAACAAAUGCCCUGCUUCCAGGAAAAGCCUCUAAGCAUCAGGUAACAUCAAAUCGUACCCCAAACCGACACAGGUGGUCAGGUAGAGAAUACCAAGGCGCUUGAGAGAACUCGGGUGAAGGAACUAGGCAAAAUGGUGCCGUAACUUCGGGAGAAGGCACGCUGAUGGUAGGUGAAGCGACUUGCUCGUGGAGCUGAAAUCAGUCGAAGAUACCAGCUGGCUGCAACUGUUUAUUAAAAACACAGCACUGUGCAAACACGAAAGUGGACGUAUACGGUGUGACGCCUGCCCGGUGCCGGAAGGUUAAUUGAUGGGGUCAGCCGCAAGGCGAAGCUCUUGAUCGAAGCCCCGGUAAACGGCGGCCGUAACUAUAACGGUCCUAAGGUAGCGAAAUUCCUUGUCGGGUAAGUUCCGACCUGCACGAAUGGCGUAAUGAUGGCCAGGCUGUCUCCACCCGAGACUCAGUGAAAUUGAACUCGCUGUGAAGAUGCAGUGUACCCGCGGCAAGACGGAAAGACCCCGUGAACCUUUACUAUAGCUUGACACUGAACAUUGAGCCUUGAUGUGUAGGAUAGGUGGGAGGCUUUGAAGUGUGGACGCCAGUCUGCAUGGAGCCGACCUUGAAAUACCACCCUUUAAUGUUUGAUGUUCUAACGUGGACCCGUGAUCCGGGUUGCGGACAGUGUCUGGUGGGUAGUUUGACUGGGGCGGUCUCCUCCUAAAGAGUAACGGAGGAGCACGAAGGUUGGCUAAUCCUGGUCGGACAUCAGGAGGUUAGUGCAAUGGCAUAAGCCAGCUUGACUGCGAGCGUGACGGCGCGAGCAGGUGCGAAAGCAGGUCAUAGUGAUCCGGUGGUUCUGAAUGGAAGGGCCAUCGCUCAACGGAUAAAAGGUACUCCGGGGAUAACAGGCUGAUACCGCCCAAGAGUUCAUAUCGACGGCGGUGUUUGGCACCUCGAUGUCGGCUCAUCACAUCCUGGGGCUGAAGUAGGUCCCAAGGGUAUGGCUGUUCGCCAUUUAAAGUGGUACGCGAGCUGGGUUUAGAACGUCGUGAGACAGUUCGGUCCCUAUCUGCCGUGGGCGCUGGAGAACUGAGGGGGGCUGCUCCUAGUACGAGAGGACCGGAGUGGACGCAUCACUGGUGUUCGGGUUGUCAUGCCAAUGGCACUGCCCGGUAGCUAAAUGCGGAAGAGAUAAGUGCUGAAAGCAUCUAAGCACGAAACUUGCCCCGAGAUGAGUUCUCCCUGAGACUUUAAGUCUCCUGAAGGAACGUUGAAGACGACGACGUUGAUAGGCCGGGUGUGUAAGCGCAGCGAUGCGUUGAGCUAACCGGUACUAAUGAACCGUGAGGCUUAACCUU
This 2904-nucleotide ribosomal RNA is filed under the name Escherichia marmotae. RNAcentral's name for it is "23S ribosomal RNA". It matches the Rfam family "Bacterial large subunit ribosomal RNA". Lineage: Bacteria; Pseudomonadati; Pseudomonadota; Gammaproteobacteria; Enterobacterales; Enterobacteriaceae. The record is from RNAcentral.